Molecule: ribosomal RNA, 512 nt
Filed under: uncultured bacterium
Lineage: Bacteria
Description: partial 16S ribosomal RNA
Rfam family: Bacterial small subunit ribosomal RNA
Source: RNAcentral
GAUGAACGCUGGCGGCGUGCCUAAUACAUGCAAGUCGAACGAAACUUCUUUAUCACCGAGUGCUUGCACUCACCGAUAAAGAGUUGAGUGGCGAACGGGUGAGUAACACGUGGGCAACCUGCCCAAAAGAGGGGGAUAACACUUGGAAACAGGUGCUAAUACCGCAUAACCAUAGUUACCGCAUGGUAACUAUGUAAAAGGUGGCUAUACUACCGCUUUUGGAUGGGCCCGCGGCGCAUUAGCUAGUUGGUAGGGUAAAGGCUUACCAAGGCAAUGAUGCGUAGCCGAAUUGAGAGGUUGAUCGGCCACAUUGGGACUGAGACACGGCCCAAACUCCUACGGGAGGCAGCAGUAGGGAAUCUUCCACAAUGGGCGAAAGCCUGAUGGAGCAACGCCGUGUGGGUGAAGAAGGUCUUCGGAUCGUAAAACCCUGUUGUUAGAGAAGAAAGUGCGUGAGAGUAACUGUUCACGUUUCGACGGUAUCUAACCAGAAAGCCACGGCUAACUACGUG